Molecule: ribosomal RNA, 229 nt
Filed under: uncultured bacterium
Lineage: Bacteria
Description: partial 16S ribosomal RNA
Rfam family: Bacterial small subunit ribosomal RNA
Source: RNAcentral
GAUCAUGGCUCAGGAUGAACGCUAGCUACAGGCUUAACACAUGCAAGUCGAGGGGCAGCAUCAUCAAAGCUUGCUUUGAUGGAUGGCGACCGGCGCACGGGUGAGUAACACGUAUCCAACCUGCCGACAACACUGGGAUAGCCUUUCGAAAGAAAGAUUAAUACCGGAUGGCAUAGUCUUCCCGCAUGGGAUGAUUAUUAAAAGAAAUUCGGUUGUCGAUGGGGAUGCG